AAACGGGUGGUAAUGCCGGAUGCUCCGACUCCUCGCAUGGGGUGUCGGGAAAGAUUUCAUCGGUAUGGGAUGGGGUCGCGUCCUAUCAGGUAGUCGGCGGGGUAACGGCCCACCGAGCCUACGACGGGUAGCCGGCCUGAGAGGGCGACCGGCCACAUUGGGACUGAGAUACGGCCCAGACUCCUACGGGAGGCAGCAGUGGGGAAUAUUGCACAAUGGGCGCAAGCCUGAUGCAGCGACGCCGCGUGCGGGAUGACGGCCUUCGGGUUGUAAACCGCUUUUGAUCGGGAGCAAGCCUUCGGGUGAGUGUACCUUUCGAAUAAGCACCGGCUAACUACGUGCCAGCAGCCGCGGUAAUACGUAGGGUGCAAGCGUUAUCCGGAAUUAUUGGGCGUAAAGGGCUCGUAGGCGGUUCGUCGCGUCCGGUGUGAAAGUCCAUCGCUUAACGGUGGAUCUGCGCCGGGUACGGGCGGGCUGGAGUGCGGUAGGGGAGACUGGAAUUCCCGGUGUAACGGUGGAAUGUGUAGAUAUCGGGAAGAACACC
This 544-nucleotide ribosomal RNA is filed under the name uncultured Bifidobacterium sp. RNAcentral describes it as "bacterial SSU rRNA". It matches the Rfam family "Bacterial small subunit ribosomal RNA", at positions 154 to 710 of the family's 1533-position model. Lineage: Bacteria; Bacillati; Actinomycetota; Actinomycetes; Bifidobacteriales; Bifidobacteriaceae. The record is from RNAcentral.